GUGGAGUAACCUUUUAGGAGCUAGCCGUCGAAGGUGGGACAAAUGAUUGGGGUGAAGUCGUAACAAGGUAGCCGUAUCGGAAGGUGCGGCUGGAUCACCUCCUUUCUAAGGA
RNAcentral lists this ribosomal RNA (112 nucleotides) under Staphylococcus aureus. RNAcentral's name for it is "partial 16S ribosomal RNA". It matches the Rfam family "Bacterial small subunit ribosomal RNA", at positions 1430 to 1533 of the family's 1533-position model. Lineage: Bacteria; Bacillati; Bacillota; Bacilli; Caryophanales; Staphylococcaceae. The record is from RNAcentral.